RNAcentral lists this ribosomal RNA (446 nucleotides) under uncultured bacterium. RNAcentral's name for it is "SSU rRNA". It matches the Rfam family "Bacterial small subunit ribosomal RNA", at positions 26 to 518 of the family's 1533-position model. The record is from RNAcentral.
AGAGCGAACGCUGGCGGCAGGCCUAAAACAUGCAAGUCGAACGAGCCCUUCGGGGUUAGUGGCGGACGGGUGAGUAACACGUGGGAACGUGCCUUUUGGUUCGGAACAACUCAGGGAAACUUGAGCUAAUACCGAAUAAGCCCUACGGGGGAAAGAUUUAUCGCCAUUAGAGCGGCCCGCGUCUGAUUAGCUUGUUGGUGAGGUAAAGGCUCACCAAGGCUACGAUCAGUAGCUGGUCUGAGAGGAUGAUCAGCCACACUGGGACUGAGACACGGCCCAGACUCCUACGGGAGGCAGCAGUUAGGAAUCUUGCGCAAUGGGCGAAAGCCUGACGCAGCCAUGCCGCGUGAAUGAUGAAGGUCUUAGGAUUGUAAAAUUCUUUCAGUGGGGAAGAUAAUGACGGUACCCACAGAAGAAGCUCCGGCUAACUUCGUGCCAGCAGCCGC